Molecule: unclassified non-coding RNA, 275 nt
Filed under: Hevea brasiliensis (rubber tree)
Lineage: Eukaryota; Viridiplantae; Streptophyta; Magnoliopsida; Malpighiales; Euphorbiaceae
Source: RNAcentral
CGACUCGUUUCCCGGCAACUACUCACUCACGCGUCGUCGCGACGAGCUCCGGCGAACCCAAAGUAGAAUAUCCGUUUUCCGUUUCGACCAGAAAAUGGCAAGUAGUAACACAAAGGAGAAGGAAGAGUUCAAGAAUCAAAGCUACAGAUUCAGAUUCAUUCUUGGAAAUGUGGAAAAGAGCAAUGGAGCGUGAGAGAAAGUCAGCUGAGUUCAAAAGAAUAGCUGAGAACAUUGCUCCUCCUGAAGUGGAUGAAAGCCCUGAGAUAUUGGAGAAG